RNAcentral lists this ribosomal RNA (1026 nucleotides) under bacterium X28. Its description in RNAcentral is "bacterial SSU rRNA". It matches the Rfam family "Bacterial small subunit ribosomal RNA", at positions 56 to 1067 of the family's 1533-position model. The record is from RNAcentral.
UGCAAGUCGAGCGGCAGCGACAACAUUGAACCUUCGGGGGAUUUGUUGGGCGGCGAGCGGCGGACGGGUGAGUAAUGCCUGGGAAAUUGCCCUGAUGUGGGGGAUAACCAUUGGAAACGAUGGCUAAUACCGCAUGAUAGCUUCGGCUCAAAGAGGGGGACCUUCGGGCCUCUCGCGUCAGGAUAUGCCCAGGUGGGAUUAGCUAGUUGGUGAGGUAAGGGCUCACCAAGGCGACGAUCCCUAGCUGGUCUGAGAGGAUGAUCAGCCACACUGGAACUGAGACACGGUCCAGACUCCUACGGGAGGCAGCAGUGGGGAAUAUUGCACAAUGGGCGCAAGCCUGAUGCAGCCAUGCCGCGUGUAUGAAGAAGGCCUUCGGGUUGUAAAGUACUUUCAGCAGUGAGGAAGGAGGUAUCGUUAAUAGCGGUAUCUUUUGACGUUAGCUGCAGAAGAAGCACCGGCUAACUCCGUGCCAGCAGCCGCGGUAAUACGGAGGGUGCGAGCGUUAAUCGGAAUUACUGGGCGUAAAGCGCAUGCAGGUGGUUUGUUAAGUCAGAUGUGAAAGCCCGGGGCUCAACCUCGGAAUUGCAUUUGAAACUGGCAGGCUAGAGUACUGUAGAGGGGGGUAGAAUUUCAGGUGUAGCGGUGAAAUGCGUAGAGAUCUGAAGGAAUACCGGUGGCGAAGGCGGCCCCCUGGACAGAUACUGACACUCAGAUGCGAAAGCGUGGGGAGCAAACAGGAUUAGAUACCCUGGUAGUCCACGCCGUAAACGAUGUCUACUUGGAGGUUGUGGCCUUGAGCCGUGGCUUUCGGAGCUAACGCGUUAAGUAGACCGCCUGGGGAGUACGGUCGCAGAUUAAAACUCAAAUGAAUUGACGGGGGCCCGCACAAGCGGUGGAGCAUGUGGUUUAAUUCGAUGCACGCGAAAACCUUACCUACUCUUGACAUCCAGAGACUUAGCAGAGAUGCUUGGUGCCUUCGGAACUCUGAAACAGGUGCUGCAUGCUGGUCGUCAGCUCGUGUUG